Molecule: ribosomal RNA, 344 nt
Filed under: uncultured eukaryote
Lineage: Eukaryota
Description: partial 18S ribosomal RNA
Rfam family: Eukaryotic small subunit ribosomal RNA
Source: RNAcentral
CAAUAGCGUAUAUUAAAAUUGUUGCGGUUAAAAAGCUCGUAGUCGAAUUUCUGUGUAAGCUUACUAGUCCAUUGCGGAUUUUGUAAUGAUUGCACUUUAGCUUUAUUGUUUUACAGUAAAGCGUUUUACUUUGAGGAAAUUAGAGUGUUUCAAGCAGGUUUACGCCUUGAAUACUUUAGCAUGGAAUAAUAAGGAAGGACUUAGGUUCUCUUAUUGGUCUGUGAACCUUUGUAAUGAUGAAUAGAAACAGUCGGGGGCGUCCAUACUCAACAGUCAGAGGUGAAAUUCUUGGAUUUGUUGAAGAUGAACUACUGCGAAAGCAUUCGCCAAGGAUGUUUUCAUUG